This 28-nucleotide non-coding RNA is filed under the name Bombyx mori (domestic silkworm). Lineage: Eukaryota; Metazoa; Arthropoda; Insecta; Lepidoptera; Bombycidae. The record is from RNAcentral.
ACACUGCAAGUCCUCGCCAGCUGCUCUC